This 480-nucleotide ribosomal RNA is filed under the name uncultured bacterium. RNAcentral's name for it is "bacterial SSU rRNA". It matches the Rfam family "Bacterial small subunit ribosomal RNA", at positions 505 to 981 of the family's 1533-position model. The record is from RNAcentral.
GUGCCAGCAGCCGCGGUAAUACGUAGGGCGCGAGCGUUGUCCGGAAUUAUUGGGCGUAAAGAGCUUGUAGGCGGUUUGUCGCGUCUGCUGUGAAAGGCCGGGGCUUAACCCCGUGUAUUGCAGUGGGUACGGGCAGACUAGAGUGCAGUAGGGGAGACUGGAAUUCCUGGUGUAGCGGUGGAAUGCGCAGAUAUCAGGAGGAACACCGAUGGCGAAGGCAGGUCUCUGGGCUGUAACUGACGCUGAGAAGCGAAAGCAUGGGGAGCGAACAGGAUUAGAUACCCUGGUAGUCCAUGCCGUAAGCGUUGGGCACUAGGUGUGGGGGACAUUCCACGUUUUCCGCGCCGUAGCUAACGCAUUAAGUGCCCCGCCUGGGGAGUACGGCCGCAAGGCUAAAACUCAAAGAAAUUGACGGGGGCCCGCACAAGCGGCGGAGCAUGCGGAUUAAUUCGAUGCAACGCGAAGAACCUUACCAAGGCU